This 465-nucleotide ribosomal RNA is filed under the name uncultured bacterium. RNAcentral's name for it is "partial 16S ribosomal RNA". It matches the Rfam family "Bacterial small subunit ribosomal RNA", at positions 28 to 507 of the family's 1533-position model. The record is from RNAcentral.
GACGAACGCUGGCGGCGUGCCUAACACAUGCAAGUCGAACGGAAAGGCCCUGCUUGCAGGUCACUCGAGUGGCGAACGGGUGGGUAACACGUGGGUGAUCUGCCCUGCACUACGGGUUAAGCCUGGGAAACUAACCCUAAUACCGGACAGGUGAUAUUUUUAGCUUGAUGGUUGGAAAGUGUAUUCGGUGUAGGAUGAGCUCGCGGCCUAUCCGCUUGUUGGUGGGUUAAUGUCCUACCAAGGCGGCGGCGGGUAGCCGGCCUGAGAGGGUGGACGGCCGCAUUGAGACUGAGGGGCGGCCGAGGCUGCGACGGGAGCGAGCAGGGGGGAAGAUUGAAGGAGGGGCGCAAGCCUGAUGAAGCGAGGCCGCGGGGGGGAAAACGGCCUUCGGAUUGAAGACUCCUUGCGCUAGGAACGAAGCAUAUUGUGACGGUACCUAGAUAGGAAGCACCGGCUAACUACGUG